AACGGAGGCGCGCGAAGGUUGGCUCAGAGCGGUCGGAAAUCGCUCGACGAGUGCAAUGGCAUAAGCCAGCCUGACUGCGAGACCGACAAGUCGAGCAGAGACGAAAGUCGGCCAUAGUGAUCCGGUGGUCCCGCGUGGAAGGGCCAUCGCUCAACGGAUAAAAGGUACGCCGGGGAUAACAGGCUGAUCUCCCCCAAGAGUCCACAUCGACG
RNAcentral lists this non-coding RNA (212 nucleotides) under Skermanella stibiiresistens SB22. RNAcentral's name for it is "Bacterial large subunit ribosomal RNA". It matches the Rfam family "Bacterial large subunit ribosomal RNA", at positions 2299 to 2510 of the family's 2925-position model. The record is from Rfam by way of RNAcentral. Lineage: Bacteria; Pseudomonadati; Pseudomonadota; Alphaproteobacteria; Rhodospirillales; Azospirillaceae.